UACAUGACACAAGUGCUGCUGAAGCCCUGCUGAGUCAGAGGCCACAAAUCAAACAGACCCUAGAAACCUGCCCUUCUCUGGCAGGGUUAAGGCUGAGAGUGGGCCCUCAGACCAUUUGGAAUGACCAGUGAUUUCAGCUCUCACUCCCUUCUCAUCAGCAUAUGUCUACAGUUGCAAGUUCUCACUCUGUAGCCCAGUCUGGAGUGCAGUGGUACAAUACUGGCUCACUUCAGCUUUGACCUUCCAGGUUCAAGCGGUCCUUCUACCUCAGCCUCUGGAGCAACUGGGACCAUGGGUGCACCCCACCACGCCCAGCUAACUUUUGUAUUUUUUUGUAGAGACAGGGUUUUGCCAUGUUGCUCAGUCCCAAUAUCAUCACCAGAUAAGAAUAUGUUUGGAUUCACGAAGAAGAAAAUUGCUUAUCUAUUUGAUCAAGAAAGAUUGGAAAAUCAGGAUGAAGCAAGUCUGGGUGAAAGAGCUGUGAAUGGAUUUAUGGGAACAGGAAGGAGGUGUGGAGAUCCUUUUAUUACAUGUUAAUGAUCACUAGGGAACAUCCACUACAAAAGAACAUCCCACUAAAUCACCAAUAGACACAAGAGAAUAU
Molecule: long non-coding RNA, 604 nt
Organism: Nomascus leucogenys (northern white-cheeked gibbon)
Lineage: Eukaryota; Metazoa; Chordata; Mammalia; Primates; Hylobatidae
Exons: 3
Source: RefSeq, a predicted model, not a curated record